This 229-nucleotide ribosomal RNA is filed under the name uncultured bacterium. RNAcentral describes it as "partial 16S ribosomal RNA". It matches the Rfam family "Bacterial small subunit ribosomal RNA", at positions 568 to 796 of the family's 1533-position model. The record is from RNAcentral.
UGCGUAGGCGGUCUAAUAAGUCAGUGGUGAAAUCUCUCGGCUCAACCGGGAAACUGCCAUUGAUACUGUUAGUCUUGAGUUCGGUUGAGGUAGGCGGAAUGUGUAAUGUAGCAGUGAAAUGCUUAGAUAUUACACAGAACACCAAUUGCGUAGGCAGCUUACUAGACCGACACUGACGCUGAGGCACGAAAGCGUGGGGAGCGAACAGGAUUAGAUACCCUGGUAGUCC